Long non-coding RNA from Manacus vitellinus (golden-collared manakin), 915 nucleotides. Lineage: Eukaryota; Metazoa; Chordata; Aves; Passeriformes; Pipridae. The record is from Ensembl.
AUUUCAAGUAUGUAUCAGUAAAAGCUCCCAUAAUUUGCUGCCACUACAUGUAAAAUCCACAAGCAAUUUUAAGCCAAAAUUCUUUUAAAGAACGAGCUGAAAAUUCCUGUAAAUAAUAUGCAACUUAGAGAUGUAUGGAACUCCUUUAUUAUGUGUUAAAUGCUGUAAUAAAACAGGCUAUCAAUAGGUUUUGCUGCAUGUUACUAAUUUUAUUUUUUUUAAUCUUGGUAUUUUUGCAGGUGUGUGGAGGAACAGGUCCUGUUCUCGCUGUUGUUACUCCCACAUAGGCAGACUGUAAUUGAUUAUGUGUGGGUAGGGCCCUAUUGAAAUUCAGGAGAUUCUGCAGUAGUGCGGGGUUCUUUUUGUGAAAGUUCAGUUGCAAGAUCAGGACCCCACUGUGACUCCUAACUGUGAAUUCUGUCAGUGUAUCAUUGAUUGUGCUGGAACCUGCCUUUUGGGAUAAUUACCAAAUACUAUAUUCCUCAAAACUUCUUAAUGGCACUGAGGCUUUGUGGAUAGUUGGUCACAUGAGAAAAUUAAGCUGGAGUGGGCAUUUGCUGCACAGCUACACAUUGUGUGGACUUGAGAAUACCUCAAGAGCUGAAAUGCUGAACUACAGCAACAGAGUAAGUUUCCUUCUGUGCACUGAGAAGAAAAGCAAAGGAAUGUGCCUGAACGUUAAGCAUGUUAGUUGUAAGUUUGUGAGAUCUUUUUUUCUGUUGCUGUUUGCACUUGGCUUGUAUCAUGACUGUCCUGUCUUCAAACUGGAUGUAGCAUGUCUUUGUGUCGAAUGAGGCACUCCUCAUAAUCUAACGUCAUGAACAUUGUUUUUCUUCAACCCUUAAAAGUCAAAACAUGGCAGCAUAGAUAGCUGUAAUAAGUUAAUAAUAAAUGUGACAUGAAAGAAUUUUCUCA